AGUGAACGCUGGCGGUAGGCCUAACACAUGCAAGUCGAACGGCAGCACAGUAGGAGCUUGUUCUUACGGGUGGCGAGUGGCGGACGGGUGAGGAAUACAUCGGAAUCUACUUUUUCGUGGGGGAUAACGUAGGGAAACUUACGCUAAUACCGCAUACGACCUACGGGUGAAAGCAGGGGAUCUUCGGACCUUGCGCGAUUGAAUGAGCCGAUGUCGGAUUAGCUAGUUGGCGGGGUAAAGGCCCACCAAGGCGACGAUCCGUAGCUGGUCUGAGAGGAUGAUCAGCCACACUGGAACUGAGACACGGUCCAGACUCCUACGGGAGGCAGCAGUGGGGAAUAUUGGACAAAGGGCGCAAGCCUGAUCCAGCCAUACCGCGUGGGUGAAGAAGGCCUUCGGGUUGUAAAGCCCUUUUGUUGGGAAAGAAAAGCAGCAGGUUAAUACCCCGCUGUUCUGACGGUACCCAAAGAAUAAGCACCGGCUAACUUCGUG
RNAcentral lists this ribosomal RNA (492 nucleotides) under uncultured bacterium. RNAcentral describes it as "partial 16S ribosomal RNA". It matches the Rfam family "Bacterial small subunit ribosomal RNA", at positions 29 to 507 of the family's 1533-position model. The record is from RNAcentral.